Long non-coding RNA from Magnolia sinica, 482 nucleotides. RefSeq lists it as uncharacterized. Lineage: Eukaryota; Viridiplantae; Streptophyta; Magnoliopsida; Magnoliales; Magnoliaceae. The record is from RefSeq and is a predicted model, not a curated record. The transcript has 2 exons.
AGCUCAUUUUUUGCUGUUUUUUUGAAACAUCUUGCUUCCAAACUGUUUCUCACUCCUUCUACUACUAAUUUCGACCAACCUUGGCUAGGUAUUUGAGAUAAAAACACAUUAUAUUAUGAAUUUUCUUGAAUCAAAGCUCGGUGGGCCAUUUUUCAGAAAUUCGUCAAAAAUAAGUAUUUAUACUUUUUUUAAUAUGUUUUGCUGUUUUAAUCAUAUCAUAUGAUGUGUUAAUCAUAGUAGAACAUGUUAACGUGCAUUUUACAGAUUUGGGGUGCCAUUUAAUAAUUUUUUAAUAUUUUUUUCUAUUUACGCAUGAAUUUUGACCCCUUUUUUAAAAUUCGAAAAAUCAAUUUUUAAUGGUUGUUUUGCUGUUUUAAUCAUGCCAUUUGAUGUGUUAAUCAUAUAAAACAUGUUAAUGUGCAUUUUACAGAUUUGGGGUACCAUUUUAUAUUUUUUUCUAUUUACGCAUUUAUUUUGGCCCU